CCUACGGGAGGCAGCAGUGAGGAAUAUUGGUCAAUGGCCGUAAGGCUGAACCAGCCAAGUCGCGUGAAGGAAGAAGGCCCUAUGGUUUGUAAACUUCUUUUGUAGGGGAAUAAAGGUCUCCACGUGUGGAUCUUUGCAUGUACCCUAUGAAUAAGCAUCGGCUAACUCCGUGCCAGCAGCCGCGGUAAUCCGGGGGAUGCGAGCGUUAUCCGGAUUUAUUUGGUUUAAAGGGUUCGUAGGUUGGAAUUUAAGUCAGGGGGUAAAGUUUGUGGCUCAACCCUAGACUUGCCGUUGAAACUGGAAGUCUUGAGUGUGUUAGAGGGAGGCGGAAUGCGUGGUGGAGCGGUGAAAUGCAUAGAUAUCACGCAGAACUCCGAUUGCGAAGGCAGCAUACUGGGCCGUAACUGACGCUGAUGCACGAAAGCGUGGGGAUCAAACAGGAUUAGAUACCCUAGUAGUC
Molecule: ribosomal RNA, 460 nt
Filed under: uncultured bacterium
Lineage: Bacteria
Description: partial 16S ribosomal RNA
Rfam family: Bacterial small subunit ribosomal RNA
Source: RNAcentral